GAUGAAGAACGCAGCGAAAUGCGAUAAGUAAUGUGAAUUGCAGAAUUCCGUGAAUCAUCGAAUCUUUGAACGCACAUUGCGCCCGCCAGUAUUCUGGCGGGCAUGCCUGUCCGAGCGUCAUUUCAACCAUCAAGCCCCGGGCUUGUGUUGGGGACCUGCGUCCGACGCAGGCCCUGAAAACCAGUGGCGGGCUCGCUGUCCACACCGAGCGUAGUAACUAACCUCGCUAUGGAGUGGCGCGGGCGCCUGCCGUAAAACCCCCAAUUUCACAAGGUUGACCUCGGAUCAGGUAGGAAUACCCGCUGAACUUAAGCAUAUCAAUAAGCGGAGGA
Molecule: unclassified non-coding RNA, 332 nt
Filed under: soil metagenome
Description: partial contains 5.8S ribosomal RNA, internal transcribed spacer 2, and large subunit ribosomal RNA
Rfam family: 5.8S ribosomal RNA (bases 1-120)
Source: RNAcentral